UCCCGCAUGAAAGUUGGCAGCCAAAGAGUAAAGAACGUCCUGAAUAUUGUUGACCUGUAUCCUACCUGUACCCAUCCUGUAUCCUACCUGUAUCCAAUCUGUACUCAACCUGUACAACCUGUAUCAACUGAGUGCAUAAAUCUGUACACUUGUACCAAUGUACCAAGAACAAGAAACAAGAUAUAAUAAAGAAUCAGAACUCAUAA
Molecule: long non-coding RNA, 206 nt
Organism: Haliotis rubra (blacklip abalone)
Lineage: Eukaryota; Metazoa; Mollusca; Gastropoda; Lepetellida; Haliotidae
Exons: 2
Source: RefSeq, a predicted model, not a curated record